Molecule: ribosomal RNA, 253 nt
Filed under: uncultured bacterium
Lineage: Bacteria
Description: partial 16S ribosomal RNA
Rfam family: Bacterial small subunit ribosomal RNA
Source: RNAcentral
UACGGAGGGGGCUAGCGUUGUUCGGAAUUACUGGGCGUAAAGCGCACGUAGGCGGCUUUGUACGUUAGAGGUGAAAGCCCGGAGCUCAACUCCGGAACUGCCUUUAAGACUGCAUCGCUUGAACGUCGGAGAGGUAAGUGGAAUUCCGAGUGUAGAGGUGAAAUUCGUAGAUAUUCGGAAGAACACCAGUGGCGAAGGCGACUUACUGGACGACUGUUGACGCUGAGGUGCGAAAGCGUGGGGAGCAAACAGG